RNAcentral lists this unclassified non-coding RNA (389 nucleotides) under fungal sp. RNAcentral describes it as "partial internal transcribed spacer region". The stretch from base 1 to 46 matches the Rfam family "Eukaryotic small subunit ribosomal RNA", at positions 1786 to 1831 of the family's 1831-position model. The record is from RNAcentral. Lineage: Eukaryota; Fungi.
AAGUCGUAACAAGGUUUCCGUAGGUGAACCUGCGGAAGGAUCAAUACAAAAAGAGAAUUGAGUGGAGCUGGGGGAGUUUUGACGGCGAUUCGGAGGGGAUGAACUGAUCAGAUCGAGUUGAGCGUGUCGAGAUGACGACCGGUGGGAGAAGACUGGUCAGAUCGAAUUGAAUCGGGAUGACGACUGGUGGGAAGAGGAUUGGUCAGAUCGAGUUGAACGCGUCGGGAUGACGACCGGUCACCCAUGAUCGUGGAUCGCUGUACUCUAGCCCCCGACCACACAUAUGCCCGGACUGCAACAGGUCCGUGACAUUUGCGCAUGUAGAGUUUGACAGAGUUGGAUGGUUGGCAACAAAGAGACAACUUUUAACAAUGGAUCUCUUGGCUCCU